CAGAAGAAUCACAUAAACUAUUUAAAAAAAUUGCGGGGCCGGCCCCGUAGCUGAGUGGUUAAGUUUGCAGGCUCCGCUGCGGCGGCCCAGGGUUUCGCCAUUUGGGAUCCUGGGCACAGACAUGGCACCGCUUGUCAGGCCUUGUUGAGACAGCGCCCCACAUGCCACAAGCAGAAGGACCCACAACUAAGAAUAUACAAUUAUGUGCCGGGGGGCUUUGGGGAGGAAAAAAAGAAAAUCGGCAACAGAUGUUAGCUCAGGUGCCAAUCUUUUUAAAAAAAUCGUAUCUCACAGGUAGAAGUGAUGCGUAAGAAUCUGGAAACACUUUUCUCUGUGGGCCUGGGGCUAGUUUUCUGAGUCGUGUAUGAGGCUCUUCUUUCUUCAAUUUGAAAGAUUACAGCAGUUCUGUAUGUUAAACUUGUCUGAUAAACAACACGCUAAAUCUCUAAAUCUAUGAUCCUAGGAAAAAUGAGAUAAAGUAAGAGAGACUGUGUGUUUUGGUAAAUUAUACAGACAAUAUUAUAAAUAUUUUGCCUUGCGUCUCACAAAGACAUCACCUCUGCAAGGGCACACUGGCAAGCGUGUCUAGUGGGAAGAAACAUUUUCACUUAAUAAGGAUAAAUGAUUGUUAGGAACCGAAUAUUUGUGCCCCUCCCCCCCACCCGCCUCCCGCUCCUCGAGUUCAUACCUUGAGAUCCUAACCCCCGAUGUGAUGGUAGGAGGAAGUGGAAGUGGGGCCAUUGGAAGGUGAUUAGGUUAAGAGGGUGGAGUCCUCAUGAAGGGGAUUAGUGCCCUUAUAAAAGAGACCCCAGAGAGUUCCCUCACCUCUUCUGCCACGUGAGGACACAGUGGGAAGACAGUUGUCUACGAGACAGGCUCUCCCCAGACACCAAAUCUACUGGCACCCUGAUCUUGGACUUCCUAGCCUCCAGACGGUGAGAAAUAAAUAUUUUCUGUUUAAGCCACCCGGUCUAUGGUAUUUUUGUUAUGGCAGCCUGAAAGGACUAAGAUGAUGUAUACCUAUCACUGUUUUGUGAGCUGUGGGGUUCUUAUCUAACUUUUACAGUGGAUGACACCAAAGACUUAUGCUUAGGAAUAGUAGCGAAGAAUCCUAUUUCAGUGAAUAGCACCAUCAUGCAUCCAGUUUUCAAGCCCCAAAUCCUUUCAAUCUUGAUACUUUCAUCUCUCACACUUUCAUGUUCAAAUUAUCACAAAAAUCCUGUCAUUUUAAUGCCUGUGUAUCUCCUCUCUCCACCAAAACUACUCUAGUCCUGAAUACCAGUACCUCUCGGACUGCUCCUUAGCCUCUGGACUUUUCUAUCUUUUCUGUCACUCUUGCCUCAGGAUAUUCCAGUCAGAUCUUCACAAUAUAGCCUUGUGAUCUUUUUUUUCUUUUUUUUGAGAAAGAUUAGCUCUGAGCUCACUGUUGACAGUCCUCCUCUUUUUGCUGAGGAAAACUGACCCUGAACUAAUAUCCAUGCCCAUCUUCCUUUACUUUCUACUUUCUAUGUGGGAUGCCUGCCACAGCAUGGCAUGCAAGUGGUGCCAUGUCCGCACCUGGGAUCAGAACAGACAAACCCUGGGCCACCGAGAAGCAGAAUGUGUGCACUUAACCGCUGUGCCACUGAGCUGGCCCCAAGCCUUGUGAUCUUUACAAAAGGCAAACAUGAGCAUAUUAUUCAACACCGUGUUAUACCACUUACGAACUCCGCAAUUGAGACCCUUAUUCCUGGGAUAAAGUGAGAAACUCCUUAAGCUACAGCCAUGGCCCCUACCUCCUUCCCAGCUUCACGUGGCUCUGUGAUCCUUCUCAUUUUUCAGUCCACUCACACUGGCUUUCUUCCCAGUCAUAAAAUGGACCCUGCUCCUUCCCUUUGCAGAUGCUGUUCCCUCUGGAAAGUUUACUGUCUGCUCCUUGCCUCGAAUUGCAUUUCCUUCUAAGCAUCAUUCAGAAUUAGGUUCAAGUGAUGUCUCUGUUGAGGUGAAGUCCCUGAGAUAGCAGAGGGCACUCUCCUUCCUGGCUCUUUUCCCCAUUGCAGUUUCCACUUCUUUGUGUGGCUUGUGUAUUUUGUAGUUGUCACUUCUCCUGUACACUCGAAGUACCUGGACAGCAAGAGCAGAGGUGGAAUUUGCUCAUUGUUUAUCUCCAGUGCCUGGCACUUAAAAGUCACACAACACAUACUUAUUUUAAGACUCCAAGCUCCAUGAGGGCAGAGGCAAUGUCUGUAUUGUUCACAUGUGUAUAUCUGAUACCAUACACAUUCCUAGGAUGAGUAAAUACAUUUUCAAAGCACUUUCUCAUUUAUUUUGUUUGACUCUCCCAACUAUUUCUUGAGAUAAACAACUCAAGUUCCCACUCCUCGUGCAUUUGGCACUUCAUCUUGAACACAAUACAUCUCUAAAUCUAGUGCUUAUCAAAGGCAUUAAAUUAUGUUUUCCUGUCUUUCAAUUCAUUCUGAUAGUUUAUUAUUAUUUCAAGGCUUUUUUAUGCAUUGUACAAUUUGAGUGAGGAUCCCACAUCUCUUAAAGCAUUAUAGGUGUACAUUGUUCAUCCUUAUUCAGAGUUUUUCCCACUAGACAUGCCCAUGAAGGCUUUGUGGGACGCAUGGCAAACUAUCUACAGCAUUGUCUAUAUAACUUACCAAACCGUGUGGCCUCUCUAACUCAUUUUUCCUAAGACCACGGUUUUAACUGGUUGCUUAUCAGACAAGUUUAAUGUAUAAAACUGCUGUAAUCUUUCAAAAUGGAGGAAGAAGAUCCUCACACAUGUGACUGCAAAAAUUAGCUCCAGGCCUGGAGAGAGAAGUGUUUCCAGAUUCUUCUGCAUCCUUUUAGACGGAAGGGGUUCUUGAGCCUCACUAUUCUUCAUUUACAGAAUGAGGAUAUUAAUACCCACCUCACAGGGUUACUGUGAGGAUUAACGUGGAUAAAAUUAAAUGAAGCAAAGUAUGUGAGAAUACGUUCCAAAUCAUAGUUAAAAAAUGUGAAGUAUUCUUUCAUGGAUAGGUAUGGAGAUUGGCUAACGUUUAUUUGUUAGGUAACUCUUAUAAGGUAGAGGAUCAUUUCAAACUAUUUCCAAAUUUUACCUUUUCUCUUUCUCCCUUCUCCCCUCCAUUCUCGUUGUCCUUUCCCAAUGCCUCCUUCUUAGCCUGUUUCAAUAACUUUAUAACUCUACCCACUAAAAUCUCUCCUCUCUCCUCUCUGAUCCAUUUUCUUCCAAAGUCAUCUCUCUCAAACCUUUUAUGCUCUUUCCUACUUUAGAUUUUCUUCAAGACCAGUGACCUUCUUUGUUUGUUCUUUUUUUUGCAUCCAUCUCUAGUCUCUGGAAUAAAGUAACUCAGUAAUGUUUAUUUUUAGUUUGUUUAAGCAACAAAAUCUGGUGGCCAAGAGCAAGCUAUUCUCCAAAGUUGGACCCACCAUCCCAGUUGUUUAACUGAGAAAUAAAUGCUAUCCUGACUUACAAACUUCUACAUGAGGAAGAGAUGUCUUUUUCUAAUUUAUCUGGAGGCCCUGUGUGGACCAGCAGAAGCCAGUCCUUGUUGAUGGGGGUGGAGAAAAACAUCCAUCAGAGUCCUAACGGAGAGAGAUUAAAAGAUGAAGAAGACUUGGCUCCUGUCCUUUAGGUGCUUCUAGCCUCGUCUGGAGCUAGAUGUGUUGCAGUUCUAACGUUUAUUUGAAAGCAAUACUCCUGUUAUUGGUUUUGUCCAUUAUUGUGUGGCAGUGGCUUAAUGCCUAGGACUUGACUUCAGAACAAAAACAGCAGCGUACAACCUACCCUACCUUGAGGCAGCGAAGCAAAAGAGGCUGAAAGAUGGAAGCCGCUCGGUGAGGAUGCUGGUACGUGUAAAUGUUACAUUGUGUGUUUUGGUUGUUUAUUCUACCUUCUAUCUUUAACAGCCCAGAGUAAAGUCAAGAAACUUCACAGAUCCUGCUGGGAUUAGCCUCAGGUUUUAAGGACAAAGAUUAGUCAGGUUGACAACUGGCUGUUUUUGACAGAAUCUGUCAGCUCUAUGAUCAGCAAAAAUGUAAACUGAAGAUGUCUUCAGGUACAAAAAGAAAUUCCUCAAAGUCAAAGCUCAUUGGCUUUUAGACAAAAAUACAAAAUCCUCCAGAACUGUAUAGUUAAACAAAGCUUUUUUUUUAGAAAUAAACUUUGAAACUCAUGGAGGCUGUUUGAAGAUAAAAGAAGAGUUGUUUAUGAGCCAACGAUGAAAGUGUGUAAAGGGCCACAGGCCCUGUCUCCAAAGACAGUCAUAUUGAGCGAUCGGGCUUCAAAAUAUGAAUUUUAGGCAGGCAUAAUUCAGUCUACAGCAAGGGACGCUCUACAGAAUACCUGACCAAUACUCCUUAAAAGUAUCAAGGUAUCAAAAACAAGGUAAAUCUGAGAAACUGUUACAGUCAAAGAGGAGCCUAAGGAGACAUGAGCACUAAAAGUAAUCUGGUAUCCUGGACGGGAUCCUGGAGGCAAAAAGGACACUAGGAAAAUUAGCCCAUAGCUAACAUUGGCCACAAAUCCUCUUCUUUUUGCUGAGAAAGACUGGCCCUGAUCUAACAUCCAUGCCCAUCUUCCUCUACUUUAUAUGUGGGAUGCCUGCCACAGUGUGGCUUGAUGAGCCGUGCGUAGGUCUACACCCAGGAUCUGAACCAGCAAACCCUGGGCCACCAAAGCGGAAUGUAUGAACUUAACUGCUGCACCUCUGGGCUGGCCACUACAAACUAUUUUAAGAGAACAAAAGACGACAGAACAGAAAUACUGGAACAAUAGAGAAUGGCUUCACUCAUCACUAUGUAUAGCACGGACAACAGAGGAGAACCGAAUUAUUGACAAAUGUACCACAUAUUACAGAUAGGAAAUUUAUAAUUGGAAAAUAAAUUCCUAAGUAUUGAAGAAACCAAGGAUAUCAUCAUAGACAAGAUGGGAAGUUCUGAUAUGGUUCUGCCUUUUUUCUGACCUAUUCCACGCUUUUUUUUCUGACAAACCACACAACAGCCCACACGGAGCUGAAAACUAGUGAUGGUGCCAUUCAUCUCAGAUUGGCUCAGAUUGCUCUUAAUUUGAUCCGCUUCUGAAUCCUCACUAGCUCUCUGACCUCAGAUGACUCAGCCUUUCCAGUGUGCACCCUGAUUGGCCAGCUUCAGUGGCUCAGUCCAUCUCAUUGGAGCAAAGCUUCUCUCAGACUCUCCAUCAGUGGCUGUGUGGGGGGCUGUCUGCCUGUUCUCUCUGCCUUGCCUGGGGAGCCUGCCUGAGAACUGCCCCACGGACGAUGCUAUUGCUUAUGAUUGGCUCUCCCAGCCUCUGCCUGCAUCUCUGGAUCUGGGACUCAGACAAGGAGAUUUAAAUACAUAAAGCUAAA
Molecule: long non-coding RNA, 5354 nt
Organism: Equus caballus (horse)
Lineage: Eukaryota; Metazoa; Chordata; Mammalia; Perissodactyla; Equidae
Source: Ensembl